AUUGAACGCUGGCGGCAGGCCUAACACAUGCAAGUCGAGCGGAUGAAGGGAGCUUGCUCCUGGAUUCAGCGGCGGACGGGUGAGUAAUGCCUAGGAAUCUGCCUGGUAGUGGGGGAUAACGUCCGGAAACGGGCGCUAAUACCGCAUACGUCCCGAGGGAGAAAGGGGGGGAUCUUCGGACCUCACGCUAUCAGAUGAGCCUAGGUCGGAUUAGCUAGUUGGUGGGGUAAAGGCCUACCAAGGCGACGAUCCGUAACUGGUCUGAGAGGAUGAUCAGUCACACUGGAACUGAGACACGGUCCAGACUCCUACGGGAGGCAGCAGUGGGGAAUAUCGGACAAUGGGCGAAAGCCUGAUCCAGCCAUGCCGCGUGUGUGAAGAAGGUCUUCGGAUUGUAAAGCACUUUAAGUUGGGAGGAAGGGCAGUAAGUUAAUACCUUGCUGUUUUGACGUUACCAACAGAAUAAGCACCGGCUAACUUCGUG
Molecule: ribosomal RNA, 484 nt
Filed under: uncultured bacterium
Lineage: Bacteria
Description: partial 16S ribosomal RNA
Rfam family: Bacterial small subunit ribosomal RNA
Source: RNAcentral